RNAcentral lists this unclassified non-coding RNA (307 nucleotides) under Prunus oocarpa. RNAcentral's name for it is "partial external transcribed spacer". Lineage: Eukaryota; Viridiplantae; Streptophyta; Magnoliopsida; Rosales; Rosaceae. The record is from RNAcentral.
GGGUUAAAUGGGUUCCUGUUUUGGCUGCCUAUUGUUAAGGAAUGGUGCCUCUCGUUGCCCCCUUCCUCCUGUCGCCCUUCGCGGGCAGCAGGAGGACGUCGCGGCAGUGCUUGUGUCCCGAUCAAUCCGCGGGUCGCCGCGAGAUGGUGAAGGUCCGCGAGUUUCUGCUUGUGAUCUCGGAUGCGGAGCAUUAAGCUGGCGGUGGGGUCUUCGGGCUCCGGUCGUCCAAUUUGAAGCGUUUUCGCUCGACACGCACGACCGUCGUGCCCGCGGCGAGCUCUCGACCCGCAAGGUCGUUUGUCUCGAG